UGCUGUUCCCACAGGACUCAGCCCAG
This 26-nucleotide non-coding RNA is filed under the name Mus musculus (house mouse). The record is from RNAcentral. Lineage: Eukaryota; Metazoa; Chordata; Mammalia; Rodentia; Muridae.